This is a non-coding RNA of Danio rerio (zebrafish), 1791 nucleotides long. The record is from RefSeq and is a predicted model, not a curated record. Lineage: Eukaryota; Metazoa; Chordata; Actinopteri; Cypriniformes; Danionidae.
UGACGCGGGAGUAUUAGACACUCCCCGAAAAAACACCAAUCACUUACAACACGAUGGAAAACAAAACCUAAAAUAGUUAGAGCUGGCGGAGGUUGUUAGACGCAAUGUGUGGCCGGGUUGCGGGGGCAGCAGUCUUAGGAGUUAAACCCCAGACCUCCCUCUCCCCAGACACUUCCUUCAGCUCCUCCAGGGGGAUCCAGAGGCGUUCCUAGGACAGCCGAGAGACUUAAUCCCUCCAACAUGUCCUGGGUCUUCCUCAAGGCCUCCUCCUGGUGGGACAUGCCUGAAACACCACCCUAAGUAGGCGUCCAGGAGGCAUCCGAAACAGAUGCCCGAGCCACCUCAGCUGACUUCUCUCAAUGUGGAGGAGCAGAGGCUCUACUCGGAGCUCCUCCUGGGUGACAGAGCUCCUUAUCCUAUCUAUAAGAGUGCACCCUGUUAGCCUGCGAAGGAAACUAAUUUCGGCCGCUUGUAUCCGAGAUCUUGUCCUUUUACCCAAAGCGCAUGACCAUAGGUGAGAGUAGGAACGUAGAUUGACCAGUAAUUCGAGAGUUUUCCUUUCGGCUCAGCUCCUUCUUUAACACAACAGACAGAUACACCAACAGCAUUACUGCUGCACCGAUCCACCAGUCAAUCUCACAUUCCAUCCUUCCCUCACUCAUGAACAAAACCCCAUGAGACUUGAACUCCUCCACCUGGGGUAAGGACUUUCCUCCAACCCAGAGAUGUCAAACCACCUUUAUCCAGUGGAGCACCAUGGCCUCGGACUUGGAGUUGCUGAUUCUCAUCCCAGAUUCUCAUCCUUAACAGAGAUUAUAAAAAACAGUCAAAAUAUUCUCAACGAUUUGGUAGAGCAGGCAGUUAAAGGGAUAGUUCGCCUAAAACUAAAAAUUCUUUCAUAAUUUACUCAACCUUCACUUAUUGUCACAAAUCUGUUUGAGCUUCUUUUUUAUGUUCAUCACAAAAGAAGAUAUUUAUAGAAAUGUUAGUAACUUAUAAUAACUAUUGACAUCUGUAGCAUUUGUUUUGUUAAAGAGUGUCAACUGUUACAGGUUACUAACAUGUUUUAAAAUAUCUUUUGUGUUUAACACAAAAAGAAAACGCAUGAAAGUUUAAAACCACUUGAGGGUGAGUAAAUGUUCAUAAUUGGGAAAAAUAUCAUUUUCUCUCGAUUUUCAUUCAUACGCAGAGCUCCUUCAUUAAACAUAUACAUGAUUUGACUACUUUAUUUUAAUGCUUAAGUGUCACAAAUCCAUGUGCUGAAAUACAAACAGAACAUACACAAUAUUAAGUUUUUCAGUAAUAUUUUGCCUUAAAAACACACAUUAAUUUACUUUAGCUGUAUAACUAUUUAAAGGAAAAAGUAAAAUGGUUUUUAACUCAUGAACUGUCUGCGCUGCCAAACGUUUGACUAUAUUUUGACUGUUUUAAAUAAUAGCUAUUAAAGUCUUUUAAAGAAUGACAAUUUUAAAUAAUGCUCAGCAUUGUUGGUUUACAGAAUAAUCAAGCAAACAUAAUCCUGUAGCACUACUUCCCUUGAUUUUGGUUUUAUUGAAAAAAAAAAAAACAUGUUAAAUGAGAAUCGGAAAUUUUUUAUGACAUACUUAAAAAAAAUAAAGAUGAUUUAGAAUUCAAAUAUGUUUUAUUUUGAUUGUUUUUAUAUAAAUUGGUUGAACACUUUACAUUUUGAUUUUUCAUAGUAAAUUUAUUUAGCUACUUUUACCAUGAACUGACAUAUCAACUGUUUGGUAGAGGUUGAUAUUGGAUGUGUUGAAUAAAAAAUGCAUUGAG